RNAcentral lists this ribosomal RNA (253 nucleotides) under uncultured bacterium. Its description in RNAcentral is "partial 16S ribosomal RNA". It matches the Rfam family "Bacterial small subunit ribosomal RNA", at positions 524 to 776 of the family's 1533-position model. The record is from RNAcentral.
UACAGAGGGGGCAAGCGUUGUUCGGAAUUACUGGGCGUAAAGGGCGCGUAGGCGGCCUUCUAAGUCAGACGUGAAAUCCCUCGGCUCAACCGGGGAACUGCGUCUGAGACUGGAAGGCUUGAAUCCGGGAGAGGGAUGUGGAAUUCCAGGUGUAGCGGUGAAAUGCGUAGAUAUCUGGAGGAACACCGGUGGCGAAGGCGGCAUCCUGGACCGACACUGACGCUGAGGCGCGAAAGCCAGGGGAGCAAACGGG